RNAcentral lists this long non-coding RNA (1735 nucleotides) under Marmota monax (woodchuck). The record is from RNAcentral. Lineage: Eukaryota; Metazoa; Chordata; Mammalia; Rodentia; Sciuridae.
CUUUCAUAAAUUUAUUUUGAAAAAAAAAUUUAAAAUCUGUGGGGACUGGGAAUAUAGCUCAGUGGUAGAGCACCUAUCAUAUUUCAGACCCUAGAUUUGAUCUAGAGUACCACACAUACACACAAAAAAAUGUGUAUGAAAGAGAAAAUACUCAUGGAAUUGAUCCAUCUUUAAUUAGGAGGCCAUUUUACUCAUAAAAGUCACACAAACACAACUCAAGUUCCUUAAGGAUAUGGGAAAAUGUAGCUAAUAGAAAAGGCCAGACAGUGCACAGUAAAAAUGAGCCCAAAAUGUAUCCUGGAUAUUGGUAUAAAAGUGGUGAAACUGCCAUAAAGGCUGCAAGUUUAGUUAAUAAUAUUGUCCCCAAGUCACUUUCCUAUUCUCAUCCAUGUACUACAGUUAGUUUUAGCUUUAGGUGAAAAAAAAGUCAAAAGCCACCUUCUUUUACCUCUUUUUGCAUCUUCCCUCCUCAGUAGGACCACAAUGAGCUCCCAUGGGGUUUUUGUUCUUGGGGGUGGGGGGGGUCCUCUUGAUUUGACUAAGGUGCUCCCUCUAAGAGGGGAGGAGCUUCCUACCCCUGCAGCCCAAGAUAGUUCCUAACCCUGGCCCCACAUAAGAAGAGUAAACAAGAGAUCCCCAUGAAAAAACAUCACGCUCAGUCACACAACCGGAGCAGAAGCACAGGGACAGGGUCAACGACAGGUACGCCAAUUUGAGAGAGUUCCCGCUUAUCCCUACACACAGCUCCUCAGGCUGUGGGGGUCUUUGCUGGCAUGAGUCCCUGUGGGAACAAAGCUACCUGCAAAUACACACAGGCAGUUCCACCUCAGGCUCACAGGGCGAUGUCCCUGUGCAAAGAGUCAGUCCCAGUCGCUCAUACCAGUCCUGGGGCUGGGAUUCGAGGGUCCAUCCCUGUCCCCCAACAUCACUCCUUCAGCCUGUCCAGGCCUUCUUUGGUCCUUAGAGCACCAACAAAUGGCCAACCCGCUGGAGUAGACAGGUCAGAGCCCAACCCAAGGCAGUGUCACAAUAGGCACCUGCUCCCCAACGCCUCAGGGACACAUCACUAGGCAACUGCUAGUUGAUUAUUACGACUGCAUCUAACGGCUCACAGCAAGCGCAUGCGCAGUUGCCAGACAGUCAAGACUAAGGACGCGGUCCCACCAGGAGGUAAAUGAAACAGACGAUUUGGGGAGGGGGGUCACAAAGGUCUCCACAUGGACAUUCAUUGACCCUGAAUUCAGUCACACUCUCAGAGCUGGGCUUAGGAAAGCCCAUUCUCUGUGACAACCCUCAGGGUCUUCUACGUCUUUGAACUGGCUGGUGGGGAACGUUAGGUCUGCGCCACCCAUUCCCACCUUCCAGGGGGACCAGACUCUGUUCAGGGAGGACCCAAGCAUUGAGAGAUCCACCUGUCUUUAGUAUCCCAGUGUCCACUUUUCCCAACAUAAUUUUUUUCAAAUGGCUAUCUUUUUUUUCCACUGAAUGUUUUGACACUCUUAUUGAAAAUCAUUUGUGAAUGUACAGGUGGGUUUAUUUCUAGAAUCUCAAGGCCAUUGGUCUAUGUGUCUAUGUGUACCCAGUACCACAUUGUUUUGUAGCUUUAUAGUAAAAUUUUAACAACUUUAUUUUACUUAUUUUUUAUGUUGAGGAUCGAACCCAGUACCUCACAAGUGCUAGGCAAGCGCUCUACCAUUGAGCCACAACCCCAGACCUAAAGUAAAUUUCAAAAUCA